This is a non-coding RNA of Manis javanica (Malayan pangolin), 944 nucleotides long. NCBI's taxonomy places the organism in Eukaryota, Metazoa, Chordata, Mammalia, Pholidota, Manidae. The record is from RefSeq and is a predicted model, not a curated record.
GACUCAACUUCCUCACUUGCGAAAUGCAAACAGUAGCAUCCGUUUCAUUGUGUUGUAACUGUAGCAACAAAUAGGAUCACGUACCUAAAACGCCCAGUGCAGAACCUCUGCAGGUAGGACAGCCUGCAAGUCUUGGGUCCAUUAAUUCAUUUUGCUGUAUUCUUGAAGAAAAAAAAUCUUUGCUGAAGCUCAAAAAUCCAGACAUGCCUGUGGUACUUAUAAACGUCCGCCUGGUGCUCCCAGCAGUUCAGUUGGCAUGGACGUAAGAUCUGAGACAUCCUCCUAUGGGGUGGAAGGGUCCUUUCGGACUCCAUCUGCGGCCCUAGGCGACCCUGCAGGAGGAAGCGAAGCUGGAGGAACGAGAUGCUUUCCCCAGCAGGGAAAGACAGAUACAUGGCACUCACACCUCCAGGGUCGAGGCUGUUGGCCUGGUUCCCAGGGGCUGAGGGGGCACCUGCAGAGGCUGCUGGCCUUCGCUGCUGGCCCACAAGCCGGGCUCCAGCUGUCUGCGGCAGACAAGAAGACCCCUGGCGUGCUUCCUUGUUCAGUAGGAUUUGUAAAUCAGCAGAACAGGGCUUGAAUUCAGCCAGAGCUGUGAAGAGUUCUGUGGAGACAGCACGUAUCCACUGGGAUCCUCCAGAGGAACAGGCAUUCAUCAGGGCUCAAGUGGGGGGAGUUCCAGGAGGACAGCAAGGUGGAGGCAUCCCUCCUGGUACCCCACCACCACAUGCCAGGCACAUGGGCCGCUGGGAGUCCCAGAGCCCAUACUAAGUGCUUCAGAAGAAAUCUGUCAUCUAAAGUGCAUGGCUGGGUGCAGAAUCUAGAAACUCCCCAAAUAUGGCCCUUCUCAGACUCACUCUGCUCAGUCCGAGGCCAGAAGCCAGGCAAGAGCCUCUCCAGAGGUGGAUCGGCCGGCGCUGCGAGCUGAGCCUGUGGACGCGUAC